UCCAGACUCCUACGGGAGGCAGCAGUGGGGAAUAUUGCACAAUGGGGGGAACCCUGAUGCAGCGACGCCGCGUGGGCGAGGAAGUAUUUCGGUAUGUAAAGCCCUAUCGGCAGGGAAGAAGAAAUGACGGUACCUGAAUAAGAAGCCCCGGCUAACUACGUGCCAGCAGCCGCGGUAAUACGUAGGGGGCAAGCGUUAUCCGGAUUUACUGGGUGUAAAGGGGGCGCAGACGGCGAUGCAAGCCAGGAGUGAAAGCCCGGGGCCCAACCCCGGGACUGCUCUUGGAACUGCGUGGCUGGAGUGCAGGAGGGGCAGGCGGAAUUCCUGGUGUAGCGGUGAAAUGCGUAGAUAUCAGGAGGAACACCGGUGGCGAAGGCGGCCUGCUGGACUGCAACUGACGUUGAGGCCCGAAAGCGUGGGGAGCAAACAGGAUUAGAUACCCGAGUAAAA
This 450-nucleotide ribosomal RNA is filed under the name uncultured bacterium. RNAcentral describes it as "partial 16S ribosomal RNA". It matches the Rfam family "Bacterial small subunit ribosomal RNA", at positions 330 to 793 of the family's 1533-position model. The record is from RNAcentral.